Erinaceus europaeus (western European hedgehog) is the source of this 106-nucleotide small nuclear RNA. The record is from Ensembl. NCBI's taxonomy places the organism in Eukaryota, Metazoa, Chordata, Mammalia, Eulipotyphla, Erinaceidae.
GUGCUUGCUUCAUCAGCACAUAUAUAAAAUUGGAAUGACACAGAGAAGAUUAGCAUGGCCCCUGAGUAAGGAUGACACGCAAAUUCGUGAAGUGUUCCAUAUUUUU